GCCCUCGUGGAUGAAAUGGUACAUGGCCCAUUGCUCAUAUAUUGAGAAGAUGCUGUGCCAUGUGUGGGAGGCGGGGGUUCGAUUCCCCCCGAGGGCA
Non-coding RNA from Mycena rebaudengoi, 97 nucleotides. The record is from the annotation of a GenBank genome assembly. Lineage: Eukaryota; Fungi; Basidiomycota; Agaricomycetes; Agaricales; Mycenaceae.